AGAGACUUAGGUUAAUGACUAGACCAAGGGCCUUCAAAGCCCUAAGUGGGGGUGAGAACCCCUCAGUCUCUG
RNAcentral lists this transfer RNA (72 nucleotides) under Branchiostegus argentatus (silver horsehead). Its description in RNAcentral is "tRNA-Trp". It matches the Rfam family "tRNA". Rfam says of the family: Transfer RNA (tRNA) molecules are approximately 80 nucleotides in length. Their secondary structure includes four short double-helical elements and three loops (D, anti-codon, and T loops). Lineage: Eukaryota; Metazoa; Chordata; Actinopteri; Malacanthidae. The record is from RNAcentral.